UGAGGAAUAUUGGUCAAUGGGCGUUAGCCUGAACCAGCCAAGUAGCGUGAAGGAUGAAGGCUCUAUGGGUCGUAAACUUCUUUUAUAUAAGAAUAAAGUGCAGUAUGUAUACUGUUUUGUAUGUAUUAUAUGAAUAAGGAUCGGCUAACUCCGUGCCAGCAGCCGCGGUAAUACGGAGGAUCCGAGCGUUAUCCGGAUUUAUUGGGUUUAAAGGGAGCGUAGGUGGACUGGUAAGUCAGUUGUGAAAGUUUGCGGCUCAACCGUAAAAUUGCAGUUGAUACUGUCAGUCUUGAGUACAGUAGAGGUGGGCGGAAUUCGUGGUGUAGCGGUGAAAUGCUUAGAUAUCACGAAGAACUCCGAUUGCGAAGGCAGCUCACUGGACUGCAACUGACACUGAUGCUCGAAAGUGUGGGUAUCAAACAGGAUUAGAUACCCUGGUAGUCCACACAGUAAACGAUGAAUACUCGCUGUUUGCGAUAUACAGUAAGCGGCCAAGCGAAAGCAUUAAGUAUUCCACCUGGGGAGUACGCCGGCAACGGUGAAACUCAAAGGAAUUGACGGGGGCCCGCACAAGCGGAGGAACAUGUGGUUUAAUUCGAUGAUACGCGAGGAACCUUACCCGGGCUUAAAUUGCAGUGGAAUGAUGUGGAAACAUGUCAGUGAGCAAUCACCGCUGUGAAGGUGCUGCAUGGUUGUCGUCAGCUCGUGCCGUGAGGUGUCGGCUUAAGUGCCAUAACGAGCGCAACCCUUAUCUUUAGUUACUAACAGGUUAUGCUGAGGACUCUAGAGAGACUGCCGUCGUAAGAUGUGAGGAAGGUGGGGAUGACGUCAAAUCAGCACGGCCCUUACGUCCGGGGCUACACACGUGUUACAAUGGGGGGUACAGAAGGCAGCUAGCGGGUGACCGUAUGCUAAUCCCAAAAUCCUCUCUCAGUUCGGAUCGAAGUCUGCAACCCGACUUCGUGAAGCUGGAUUCGCUAGUAAUCGCGCAUCAGCCACGGCGCGGUGAAUACGUUCCC
This 1019-nucleotide ribosomal RNA is filed under the name uncultured bacterium. RNAcentral describes it as "bacterial SSU rRNA". It matches the Rfam family "Bacterial small subunit ribosomal RNA", at positions 355 to 1375 of the family's 1533-position model. The record is from RNAcentral.